UCUCCAUUUCACGUGCUCUCUCACCGGUCAGAGAGGCGAGAAAGAGCGCGCAAUGAAGAGA
This 61-nucleotide microRNA precursor is filed under the name Pristionchus pacificus. Its description in RNAcentral is "mir-8364 microRNA precursor family". It matches the Rfam family "mir-8364 microRNA precursor family". Lineage: Eukaryota; Metazoa; Nematoda; Chromadorea; Rhabditida; Neodiplogasteridae. The record is from Rfam by way of RNAcentral.